Molecule: ribosomal RNA, 253 nt
Filed under: uncultured bacterium
Lineage: Bacteria
Description: partial 16S ribosomal RNA
Rfam family: Bacterial small subunit ribosomal RNA
Source: RNAcentral
UACGUAGGGUGCGAGCGUUGUCCGGAAUUACUGGGCGUAAAGAGCUCGUAGGUGGUUUGUCGCGUUGUUCGUGAAAACUCACAGCUUAACUGUGGGCGUGCGGGCGAUACGGGCAGACUGGAGUACUGCAGGGGAGACUGGAAUUCCUGGUGUAGCGGUGGAAUGCGCAGAUAUCAGGAGGAACACCGGUGGCGAAGGCGGGUCUCUGGGCAGUAACUGACGCUGAGGAGCGAAAGCGUGGGGAGCAAACGGG